GAUGAACGCUAGCUACAGGCUUAACACAUGCAGGUCGAGGGGCAGCAUGGUCUUAGCUUGCUAAGGUCGAUGGCGACCGGCGCACGGGUGAGUAACACGUAUCCAACCUGCCGUCUACUCUUGGACAGCCUUCUGAAAGGAAGAUUAAUACAAGAUGGCAUCAUGAGUCCGCAUGUUCACAUGAUUAAAGGUAUUCCGGUAGACGAUGGGGAUGCGUUCCAUUAGAUAGUAGGCGGGGUAACGGCCCACCUAGUCUUCGAUGGAUAGGGGUUCUGAGAGGAAGGUCCCCCACAUUGGAACUGAGACACGGUCCAAACUCCUACGGGAGGCAGCAGUGAGGAAUAUUGGUCAAUGGGCGCAGGCCUGAACCAGCCAAGUAGCGUGAAGGAUGACAGCCCUAUGGGUUGUAAACUUCUUUUAUAAAGGAAUAAAGUCGGGUAUGUAUACCCGUUUGCAUGUACUUUAUGAAUAAGGAUCGGCUAACUCCGUG
Molecule: ribosomal RNA, 490 nt
Filed under: uncultured bacterium
Lineage: Bacteria
Description: partial 16S ribosomal RNA
Rfam family: Bacterial small subunit ribosomal RNA
Source: RNAcentral